RNAcentral lists this ribosomal RNA (468 nucleotides) under uncultured bacterium. RNAcentral describes it as "partial 16S ribosomal RNA". It matches the Rfam family "Bacterial small subunit ribosomal RNA", at positions 28 to 507 of the family's 1533-position model. The record is from RNAcentral.
GACGAACGCUGGCGGCGUGCUUAACACAUGCAAGUCGAACGGAAAGGCCCUGCUUUUGUGGGGUGCUCGAGUGGCGAAAGGGUGAGUAACACGUGAGUAACCUGCCCUUGACUUUGGGAUAACUUCAGGAAACUGGGGCUAAUACCGGAUAGGAGCUCCUGCUGCAUGGUGGGGGUUGGAAAGUUUCGGCGGUUGGGGAUGGACUCGCGGCUUAUCAGCUUGUUGGUGGGGUAGUGGCUUACCAAGGCUUUGACGGGUAGCCGGCCUGAGAGUGUGACCGGCCACAUUGGGACUGAGAUACGGCCCAGACUCCUACGGGAGGCAGCAGUGGGGAAUAUUGCACAAUGGGCGGAAGCCUGAUGCAGCAACGCCGCGUGCGGGAUGACUGCCUUCGGGUUGGAACCCGCUUGCGCCUGUGACGAAGCGUGAGUGACGGUAAUGGGUAAAGAAGCACCGGCUAACUACGUG